GGUAAGAAUGGACAGAAGAUAAGUAGUGAAAAAGGUGCAUUACAAACUGUACUUAAAAAACCAAUUGAAAUUUCUGAUGAAGAUAUGAAACAAGAAAUAUCUGGUGAAGAAAAAGAAACGACAGAAACUGAUGAAGUUAAGAAAGAGAAAAUAGAGGAAGAAAGCAAAUUGGAUAAUAUACCAGUAAAACAUGAAGAAUUGAGUAUUGACUUAAAGGAAGACGAAAAUGCAGAAUCACAGGCAGAAGAAAUUGUAGAAAAAAUUGUAAACGAAAUUAUUGAACCAAAUAUAGAAUCAAAAGAAGGUCUGAAUAAUCUUCAACUAAGUAAACAGAUGUUAAAACAAUUAAAUAAGAAUAUUUUAUUUAAUGAAGACUUUUUGAAAGAUAUUUUACCAGAUUAUUCAAACAUAAAUAAAACAUUAAAAGAACUAGUUACUGUAUUAGAAAAAGAAAGAACCGAUUUAAAGAAUGUAAAUUAUUUUAAAAAAGAAAUACAGAAUAAUUUUGCCUAUCGUAAUGGUCUUUAUUUUAGUGAAACGAGUGUAAAAGAAUAUAAUAAUAAUGUUGAUUCUGAAAAGUAUGCUAUUAUAAAUUUACCUGAAGAUACAAUGGUUUUUGUUAUAACUGCAAAUAAAUUAUUUUUUCAAGAUUUGAUUUAUUCAACUAAUAAAUAUACUGCUAUUAAAAAUAAAUUUACUUACAUGAUGAAUCAUAUUAUUUUUAAUUUAAAAAAUAAAUUUUAUUUUAAAGAUUAUACUUAUCAAUAUUUAUAUAAAGAAGAUUCUUUUGCUAAUGAUCCAUUAAAUAAAAAGUUAAAUAUGGAAUUACUUGGCUCUUUAGCAAAUGUUACACAAACUAUAUAUAUCGAUGAAAUAAAAGAAAAAAAAGUAACUAUGCAUAAAUUAUAUGGUGGUUGGUUUCAUUAUUUAGGUAUUAUGGUUAUUCAUGGAUAUGUAUACAAACCAAUAAUAAAAGAUCCAGCAGAAAUAAAUAAAAAUUUGGUUAUACCUUUAUCAGAAGUGGAAGAAUUUAAAAAAAAAAUAACACAAAAAAAACAUAAUGCUUACUAUAAUGAUUAUACAUUAGGUUUAUGGAGAGAUUAUCCAAACAAUAAAUUUAUACCAUGGAGAUUUUCGUUAGAAUUAUUUUUGUGGGACAUUAUUGAUGUAAUGCCUCAUGAAUUACCACAUCCAUCAGAUUUGAUUAUAAAAUAUAGACGUGGUUAUGAAGCGUUAAUGAAUAAUGAAGGUGAAAACGUUUCUAUUGGUGGUAGUAUUGUAGGAGAAAAACAAAAUUAUAUCGAAUCGAAUACAAUAAGUUUUAACAAAUACGAAAUAAAUAAUUGGUAUGAAACUUUAAAGAAAAAAAUAACAUCUUAUCCUGGUUUUGAAGUAACUAUAGUAUCAGUACAAGAUUAUUUAGAAAAAUCUUUAGGUAAUGAUGCAACAAAAAAUAUAAAAAUAAAUUCUAACAAAACAUCUAAAACUAAGGAUUACAUUCUUUUGAUUUUGUUAAAUAAAAACUUUUUUGUGAAAGAGAUUUUAGAAAGUUCAAAAUAUCAUGAAGCAAAAAUUGGUUAUUUUACAAGUAAAAUGAAUGAUAUAUUAAAAACGUUAAAUAAAUUAUUAGAAGAGAUUAGUAAGUUAUUGAAUAAUGAUAAUAGUACUCCUAUAGAUGUUACUGAUUCUGAGGAUGUUGUAGGUGAUGUUGUAGGUGCAAAUAGUGUUAUUUCUUCUGUUCAAUCUAUUAUUUCUAGUGAUAGUAAUAUUAACUCUACCGAUGAAACAUCUGAUAAAAUUGAUCAUGGUAAUAACAAUUCAGAUAAUGAAUAUAAAAAACCAUUUGCUACAUUUUAUAACUACUUAAUAAAUAAAAACAAUUACGAAAACAUAAAUCCACAUAUUGUAUCAGAAUUAGCAGGUAUAACCAAACAUAUAAAAUGUAACAACUCCACUGUAGAUAAUUUUAAAUGCACACAUGAUGUAUCUUUACAUUACAAGUAUGGUGGUUGGUUUGAGUAUGGUGGAGCAAUAUAUAUAGAAAAUGUAAUCCCAGUUUAUAAUUUAACUUAUGAAAAACAUGGAACAAUUAUUAAUAAAGAAUAUGAAAAUAGUAUUUUAUACGAAGCAAAUGGUAAAUCUAGAAAUAUAGGAUUAUGGAGAGAUUUACCAAAUAAAAAUAUGUCCUUAUACAGAUAUCCCCUAGAUGUAUUUGCUCUUGAAUUUAAUCAUUAUUCAAUUAUGAAUAUUAACACUUUACAUCCUUACGUAUUAAUGGAUAUAUUAAACAAAGGAAUACGUUUAUACAGACCUUAUAUUGUACAUAUAAAUAAUACUAAUAUAGGUACAGGUAUGAAAAAUGGUGUUAAUGACAAUUUACAGAACAAACGUCCAAAUGAAAUAGAAACCAAAUAUAAUUUGUUUAAUUCACCAAACCGAUUCGUAUAUCCAAUUAGAGAAUUACACAACAUAAGAAAAAAAAAUAUAGAGAAAUAUAAUGUAGGAGGAAUAGGUACUAAUAAUACUACUACUACAAUUUCAGCACAAACAAAUACUGUACAUUCUGAUGAAGACAAUUAUACAGAAUUAUUGAAAGGAGACACAACUAUUCAUAAUAAUAAUAUUGAACAGUUAGAACGUGUUAAAAAAGGUAUAAGGACAACAGAUUUAAUAAAAAAAAACUAUUUAUGGAAUCAAAGAUUUAACUAAAAUAGGAUUAAUAAAUGAAGAUUCUGAAGAUAGAAAUCA
Molecule: long non-coding RNA, 2748 nt
Organism: Piliocolobus tephrosceles (Ugandan red Colobus)
Lineage: Eukaryota; Metazoa; Chordata; Mammalia; Primates; Cercopithecidae
Source: Ensembl